Cyprinus carpio carpio is the source of this 514-nucleotide long non-coding RNA. The record is from Ensembl. Lineage: Eukaryota; Metazoa; Chordata; Actinopteri; Cypriniformes; Cyprinidae.
UUCAUACUUUUGGCAUAAAGGUAAGAAGCAAAGAUCAGAGCCGCUCUUCUCGAGAACCAUGAAAUCUUUUCUCAUUUUUGCCUGUGUCUUUGGACUCUGCUGUGCCGUGCUAGCAGAGGAUGAAGAACUUCGAGAGAAGCGCUCAUCAAGCCGUUCCUCAGAGAGACAGCCUGGAGGCUUCUACAACCCAUACCAAUUUCAGCGUCCCUAUCCCUACCCGUACUUUCCCCCUUACCAGCCCCAGCCUCUGCCACAGCCUUUGCCUCAGCCUCUGCCACCAAACAACAAUGCUCUCCUCAGCCUCUUGCCAUUCAUCUUAGCACAGCUGGCAUCCAACACCCCUGCUCCAGCACCGGCCCCCGCACCUGCACCCGCACCCGCACCCGCCCCGGCCCCUGCACCAGCCCCUGCACCAGCCCCUGCACCUGCACCUGCCCCAGCUCCUGCUCCUGCCCCUGGUGGGAGAUAAGACAUCCAUUAAAACUGAGCAUGUGUCUGAUUGACUUGAUACUCU